CCGCGCGCGCGAACUCAACUGAUCGCAGUGCAUCGUAGCCCGCCGUCGGGCUGUGUAGUCCCGGAUGUCAAUAAACCAUUUACAGUAUUCUGAUUACGUUUCAUGUGAAGUGUUUUUGAAUUGCUUGCACUCGUAAUACCAAAUGUUCAACUCGUCAUUUUUUUUCUCCAAUUGUAUUUUGGUUUAAUCGGAAUCAAGGACUUACGUGCACGCAAAUGAUAUCGUCUCUUUUCCGUUAUGAAGGAACACCGAACCAAAGGACUUAGGGUCACAACUACUGAAAGCAUAAUUAG
Diuraphis noxia (Russian wheat aphid) is the source of this 293-nucleotide long non-coding RNA. NCBI's taxonomy places the organism in Eukaryota, Metazoa, Arthropoda, Insecta, Hemiptera, Aphididae. The record is from RefSeq and is a predicted model, not a curated record.